Molecule: ribosomal RNA, 450 nt
Filed under: uncultured bacterium
Lineage: Bacteria
Description: partial 16S ribosomal RNA
Rfam family: Bacterial small subunit ribosomal RNA
Source: RNAcentral
GUGGGGAAUAUUGGACAAUGGGCGAAAGCCUGAUCCAGCCAUGCCGCGUGUGUGAAGAAGGUCUUCGGAUUGUAAAGCACUUUAAGUUGGGAGGAAGGGCAGUAAGUUAAUACCUUGCUGUUUUGACGUUACCGACAGAAUAAGCACCGGCUAACUUCGUGCCAGCAGCCGCGGUAAUACGUAGGGUGCAAGCGUUAAUCGGAAUUACUGGGCGUAAAGCGUGCGCAGGCGGUUAUGUAAGACAGAGGUGAAAUCCCCGGGCUCAACCUGGGAACUGCCUCCAAAACUGCAUGACUAGAGUACGGUAGAGGGUAGUGGAAUUUCCUGUGUAGCGGUGAAAUGCGUAGAUAUAGGAAGGAACACCAGUGGCGAAGGCGACUACCUGGACUGAUACUGACACUGAGGUGCGAAAGCGUGGGGAGCAAACAGGAUUAGAAACCCCGGUAGUCC